This is an RNA transcript of Xenopus tropicalis (tropical clawed frog), 672 nucleotides long. It is a transcript of the gene named microseminoprotein beta, gene 4, with no coding region annotated. The transcript has 5 exons. The record is from RefSeq and is a predicted model, not a curated record. Lineage: Eukaryota; Metazoa; Chordata; Amphibia; Anura; Pipidae.
UCCUAAGAAAACAAUGUUGCUCAAUUCCAGUCUGAUCUGCUAUAAGUAGCACUGCUAUAAGAGUGCAGGGCUCACUGUGCUGUAUCUGCAACAACUGAAAACAUAAUGAAGUGCAUUUUGGCUUCUGUGAUUGCCCUUGGCAUUUUGUUGACAACAUGUAAUGCUGCCUGCUUCAAUCAGCCGCCUGAAAACCAGGAAGGUUGCCUUUAUAGUGGUGAGCUGCAUGAACUGGGGAGCACAUUUAGAACAAAAGAUUGUAUGGACUGUACCUGUUCCAUGGACGGCUCAAUGGGAUGUUGCCAAGUAUUCAAGUAGUUGAUAGAGUGUUUCCAGAUGAGCGAGGUAGUGAUCUGUGGACCAAACUUUUACAGAGGGAAGUGAAGUGGAUAUUUACAUUGGACAUGGCACCCCAGUGGAUUUUGAUAGGACAAAGUGUAAGGUUAUUUAUAAUAAGAAAACCUGCACUGUUCGUGUUGUGCAAAGGAAAGAUCCUUCAAAGGAAUGUGAGCGUUAUUCUAUGGUUGGGUAAAGUGGCCGUCUCCUUAGGCUACAGCCUUCAAGCUUACAACAUUUAUAUCCAUGUUGUUUUUUGUAUACAAAGUAAAACAGUGUGUAUUGCAUGAAUAAAGUAUAUAUAAAUAAAUGAGAAAAUAAAGUCAGUAUAACAGCAAA